RNAcentral lists this ribosomal RNA (253 nucleotides) under uncultured bacterium. Its description in RNAcentral is "partial 16S ribosomal RNA". It matches the Rfam family "Bacterial small subunit ribosomal RNA", at positions 524 to 776 of the family's 1533-position model. The record is from RNAcentral.
GACGGAAGGUGCAAGCGUUGCUCGGAAUCACUGGGCGUAAAGGGUGCGUAGGCGGCUUCUUAAGUCUGGUGUGAAAGCCCAGGGCUCAGCUCUGGAAGUGCACUAGAAACUGGGGAGCUUGAGUACCGGAGGGGAGAGUGGAAUUCCUGGUGUAGCGGUGAAAUGCGUAGAUAUCAGGAGGAAUACCGGUGGCGAAAGCGACUCUCUGGACGGUUACUGACGCUGAGGAGCGAAAGCGUGGGGAGCGAACAGG